This 297-nucleotide ribosomal RNA is filed under the name uncultured bacterium. RNAcentral describes it as "partial 16S ribosomal RNA". It matches the Rfam family "Bacterial small subunit ribosomal RNA", at positions 30 to 310 of the family's 1533-position model. The record is from RNAcentral.
AGUGAACGCUGGCGGCAGGCCUAACACAUGCAAGUCGAGCGGCAGCGGGUCCCCGCGAGGGGAUGCCGGCGAGCGGCGGACGGGUGAGGAACACAUCGGAAUCUGCCUGGUUGUGGGGAUAACGUAGGGAAACUUACGCUAAUACCGCAUGCGACCCUGAGUCGACGGACUGGGGGUGAAAGUGAGGGACCUUCGGGCCUCACGCGACCAGAUGAGCCGAUGUCGGACUAGCUAGUUGGCGGGGUAACGGCCCGCCAAGGCGACGAUCCGUAGCUGGUCUGAGAGGAUGAUCAGCCA